RNAcentral lists this ribosomal RNA (339 nucleotides) under Streptomyces albidoflavus. RNAcentral's name for it is "partial 23S ribosomal RNA". It matches the Rfam family "Bacterial large subunit ribosomal RNA", at positions 2593 to 2925 of the family's 2925-position model. The record is from RNAcentral. Lineage: Bacteria; Bacillati; Actinomycetota; Actinomycetes; Kitasatosporales; Streptomycetaceae.
GCGGUACGCGAGCUGGGUUUAGAACGUCGUGAGACAGUUCGGUCCCUAUCCGCUGUGCGCGUAGGAAUAUUGAGAAGGGCUGUCCCUAGUACGAGAGGACCGGGACGGACGAACCUCUGGUGUGCCAGUUGUUCUGCCAAGGGCAUGGCUGGUUGGCUACGUUCGGGAGGGAUAACCGCUGAAAGCAUCUAAGCGGGAAGCCUGCUUCGAGAUGAGUAUUCCCACCUCCUUGAGAGGGUAAGGCUCCCAGUAGACGACUGGGUUGAUAGGCCGGAUAUGGAAGCCCUGUAAGGGGUGGAGUUGACCGGUACUAAUAGGCCGAGGGCUUGUCCUCAGUUG